Molecule: ribosomal RNA, 995 nt
Filed under: Salmonella enterica subsp. enterica serovar Typhimurium
Lineage: Bacteria; Pseudomonadati; Pseudomonadota; Gammaproteobacteria; Enterobacterales; Enterobacteriaceae
Description: partial 23S ribosomal RNA
Rfam family: Bacterial large subunit ribosomal RNA
Source: RNAcentral
UAACUGAAUCCAUAGGUUAAUGAGGCGAACCGGGGGAACUGAAACAUCUAAGUACCCCGAGGAAAAGAAAUCAACCGAGAUUCCCCCAGUAGCGGCGAGCGAACGGGGAGGAGCCCAGAGCCUGAAUCAGCAUGUGUGUUAGUGGAAGCGUCUGGAAAGGCGCGCGAUACAGGGUGACAGCCCCGUACACAAAAGCGCAUGUGCUGUGAGCUCGAUGAGUAGGGCGGGACACGUGGUAUCCUGUCUGAAUAUGGGGGGACCAUCCUCCAAGGCUAAAUACUCCUGACUGACCGAUAGUGAACCAGUACCGUGAGGGAAAGGCGAAAAGAACCCCGGCGAGGGGAGUGAAAAAGAACCUGAAACCGUGUACGUACAAGCAGUGGGAGCACCCUUCGGGGUGUGACUGCGUACCUUUUGUAUAAUGGGUCAGCGACUUAUAUUCUGUAGCAAGGUUAACCGUAUAGGGGAGCCGGAGGGAAACCGAGUCUUAAUUGGGCGUUAAGUUGCAGGGUAUAGACCCGAAACCCGGUGAUCUAGCCAUGGGCAGGUUGAAGGUUGGGUAACACUAACUGGAGGACCGAACCGACUAAUGUUGAAAAAUUAGCGGAUGACCUGUGGCUGGGGGUGAAAGGCCAAUCAAACCGGGAGAUAGCUGGUUCUCCCCGAAAGCUAUUUAGGUAGCGCCUCGUGAAUUCAUCUCCGGGGGUAGAGCACUGUUUCGGCUAGGGGGCCAUCCCGGCUUACCAACCCGAUGCAAACUGCGAAUACCGGAGAAUGUUAUCACGGGAGACACACGGCGGGUGCUAACGUCCGUCGUGAAGAGGGAAACAACCCAGACCGCCAGCUAAGGUCCCAAAGUCAUGGUUAAGUGGGAAACGAUGUGGGAAGGCCCAGACAGCCAGGAUGUUGGCUUAGAAGCAGCCAUCAUUUAAAGAAAGCGUAAUAGCUCACUGGUCGAGUCGGCCUGCGCGGAAGAUGUAACGGGGCUAAACCAU